Long non-coding RNA from Schistocerca gregaria, 5673 nucleotides. RefSeq lists it as uncharacterized. The transcript is spliced from 6 exons. The record is from RefSeq and is a predicted model, not a curated record. Lineage: Eukaryota; Metazoa; Arthropoda; Insecta; Orthoptera; Acrididae.
ACUGUGGUCCAAAACCACUCGGAAGUGACGUCAAAAUGACGUACACGCAAAAGCGCUGCACACUUGUCGACUGAUCGAGAUCUGUGGUCGAAUCGAGUUAGCAGGAAAAGCGUCUGCUUUGUUGUUCACUGUCAUACUGACCGUGUAUCUUGAGUGGUUGUGUGUAUUCGCCAUUGAGCAAAAUGUCUCAGGUGUAUGAAAACAUCUUUCGUGACGCUCUGAAAGAUUUCAGAGUUUUGGAGGAUGGCGUGAUUUCAGGCUAUUGUAAUUCUUUGGAGGAGGUAAAACAAAGCAUUUCUUCAAGCAAAUACAGGGACAUGUCCCUAUCUCCUUUUUUGGUUGUGCAUUUGCAGUGGAGAGUGUGUGUGGUCAAGGCACUGUGUUUUGGGGCCAAAAUACUAUAAAAGUAUAGAAUCUAGUGUACCUGAGCACUUGGGAGACCGUGUGACUCCUCGUAAGAGAUUGAGGAUCAUGGAUACUAGAAAAUCCAACUGCCCAGUGACUUUAAAUAUGAAGUGUAUAAGGGUGUAUCCUGAUUACUGUAUGCACUCAGCAACUGAACACAGGGAUACAAAGGCAAAAGUUCUUGCAAGUCUACAGAAAGAUUUGGCAUUGCCAUGCCCACCUAAGAGCUACCUACGUUUUUAUUUGACUGCUUCCCCGCAAGUGCACACACACAUGCUACUGAAAGUGUUGAAGCAAGUGGGUACAUACAUCCUUCACUUGUAAAGGAAAUCAAAAACUUAGUACUCAGUGGAAUGGCAUCUCUCAGUCAUUAAGUUGGCUCUAGAUAGAUUUGUUGAAAUCAAUUUUACUGGGACACACAUACCAGGUCAAAUGAAUACUACCUUUUACCACACAGAGAAAACAAUUUACAGUCACAUUUAUUGGACCCUUUAUGGUAUAAAUAAAGUAUUGUUUGACGAGACUAGACUGCAGAAUCAGGUUGAUGCGUGGCACAAAGACUCGAGCAAUCACAUGAUUUAUUGUAGACAUUGCACGGGAGCCAAUGGUGAAGUGAAACCUUUACUUUUUUGCUAUCAGAGCAGUUGGCAGAGAGAUCUUUUGAAGAAGUAUGGGGGUAGUUGUUUGUUAGAUGAAACAUACAAAACAACAUCAUAUGAUAUUCCUUUAUUUUUUAUAGCUGUGAAGAGUAAUGUGGGCUAUUUGGUUGUCGGUUUUUUCUUAAUUCAGAUUGAAAAUGCAAGAUCCAUUCAUGAAGCACUAGACAUUUUCAUGGACUGGAACAAGGAUUGGAAUCCCCUCUAUUGGGUUACCGAUUUCUCGGAGUCGGAGAUAAAGGAAACUGAGCAAGCAUUCCCUCAGACAAAAGUUUACUUUUGCCUUUUCCAUCGAAAACAGGCACGGGGAAGAUGGUUGAAAAAAAAGGAUAAUCUACGUGUACCAAAUGACAUGAAGACAUUUCUGGAUACGUGGUAAGAAACUUCAGAACCACCAACAGAGAUAGAAUUUAGAGAUCAUGUAGAAGAGUUGCGAACGCAUGAGGUUUCUCGGAGAAACGAGCGUGCAUGGCCAUACUUUAAACAGCAAUGGCUAACGGUAUGUGAAAGAUGGGUGAAAGCAUAUGAGGACAAGGGCAGAUUUGCAACCAUUGACACUACAAAUGGAGUUGAAGCCAUGAACAAGGUUGUAAAACAUUUUUUCCUUAAACACAAUUCAGGCAGGGCUUUAACUGUCAUUACUAAGGUUAUAAUAAACCAGUUUCUUCCUAGCCUAAUUCGAAAAUACUGUCUGCAGAAUUCUGCCAUCAAAGCUUUAUAACAAAGAUGUUCCACUGUUUUUGCAUAAAAAAAUAAACAAGUUUGUGAAACAUGUCAUGCAGCGAUAUGCAUCAGCAAAAGUUGAGUUAACAGCAAGAUCAGUGAGUAAGAGAUCGGAUGGUUCAUUUUGUGUGGAGAGUGCAAAGUCCAAGAACUGUAAUUAUGUUGUAAACUUUGAUAUACCAGAUUGCACAUGUGAAGAUUUUCGGAUAUAUAAAUACCCAUGCAAGCAUUUCUGUGCAAUCUUUAUUUUUUACCCAGAGUGGGGUUUUGAUAAAAUGCCAGAAAGUUAUAAGACUAGUCCAUUAAUCUGUCUUGAUGAAAUUUAUGGGGUGGGCUUUAGAAGGGGCUCUUUAGUAAUUUCAUAUGAAGGCAGUAGUAGUGAUGAAGCUGUUGAGGAGGCUGUCGAGGCAGCAAAUACAGAUGGUCUUGUUCAAACCCAGAAUAUUCCUUUGCAGCAGUUUGCAGCAAGGGAGCUGUGUAAACAGAUUUAUAAUCUCACAUACAACUGCAGCAACAGUGAAACAUUACAGAAAGUACUUGAAUCACUGAGCAACUGUGUGCAAGAUUUGCAAUUAGCAAAUCCUGAAGUUGGUGGUCUCCCAUUAGCAGUGCCAUCAACUUCCAAACAAUAGCGAAGAACAAUGCCAAAAGCCUUACAAGAUCUGUCUUAAACACAUUAUAACUUUCCAUUUGAAGGGUAAGAAAUGACUGUUUAUUUGAAUUUUAGAUAGCUCUUUGUCUAUGUAAAAUACAAAUAAGCUCCGUCAUUUCUGAUCCUCGAGAUGGAAUGCUAUGAGGUUUGUAUGUUGGUCUCUGAUUUUAAACUUUGUUGCACAUUUGAAUUUCGAAGUAGCAAUAGAUAAAAUAUUAUAAAAAGGAUAGUUGCCACAUUUGUGUUUGUGAAUGAGUGAGUGUGCGCGUGUGCUUUUGAAAAGGCCCUUGUUGUCCGAAAGAUAAGUCCGAUAGUCUUUUUGUUGUGCCUUUCUGUGACUCAGCAUCUUCACUAUUUGGUGAGCAGCAACAACUAUCCUUUUCAUAAUAUUGUUACAUUCCAUCCGGGAUUUUUCAUUGUUCAUCAGAGAAAAGAUUUUUCUGAGGAAUUAAACUAGGUGGUAGUGUAGAACUUGCGAACUUUUUACAAUAUGAAAAAAAGAUUUUAACUUUAAGUUAAUUCAAAUAUGGGACAAUGUUGAGAGUUGAAACGGUGGAAAAAAUAAAUAAGAUAUAUCUUAGUGGCAUUGAGAUGUCGUAUGACUGAUGUAGGAAAGAUUUUGCAUUUCUUUUUCCAAGUAAGAAUGCACUUGCUUCAAUACAUGUCUAGUGAUUCACGUGAUACAGAGAUAUAGAUAGUGCCCUGUUAAUGAACAUGUGAGAUUGCCCAAUAUCACUUUGACAGAAGUGUAUAGUGUUUCCUUGAUAUGGUAUCUGGUCAGCAAUGUCAUUGGGGCCAAAUGAAAGUUACUGCAGAUACCACAGCAGAAGCAAUUACUGUUACUGGAAUACCAGUAAUGUUUAUUAAAUUCAGUUAUAAAGUAGUUCUGGGCAUUGCAGCUGGUGAGCAGUCAUCGAGCACCAAAAGAAGUUCAGCUAUUAUGGAUUUCUGGCCUUCAGUCCAUGGGAAAAUUCACACCAGAGUGCAUGAAGACUGUUAUAUUCCAAGGAUAUCUUGGAAGAUUGAUAGUAUUCCUGAAGGAAAACAAUCCAUAUAGUGUUUCAUAUGUGUAUCAAACUGCCAUUUGUUGUGGCACAUAAAUGUUUGCAACUUGAUUGUAAUUUUUGAACAGUUUCUCAACAAUCCAAGAAUUUCUUAUAAUGAGAAGUAGACAUUGUUGCUUGGUUAAAGGAAAUACAAAUCAGUCAAAACAACUACCCUAUUAACUUCCCACAGAGAAAUAUUUUUCACUACUGCUACUUAAAAAUUCAAAUGUGUGACAAAGUUUGCUUACAGAACUUGUCAUAAAGAUCUCCCUUAUUUGUAUUUUUUAGAUAGCUCUUAUUGUUUGAUCUUUCAAAUGGAAUGCUAUGACUUCCAUGUGAUCUAUUCCUUAGCAGUUAAUUAUCCAUUAAGGCACAAAUAUAUGAACAUUACAAUGAGAGGGGUCUUUAUGCCAGGCCCUGUAAAAGUAAUGGCAUCUUACUUAAUAUUAUUGUUGGGAAUUUGAUGGCACAGCUGUGGGGAGACCACAAAUUUCAGGGUUUGCUAACUGCAAAUCUGGCACACAGUUGCUGAGUGAUUAAAGUACUUUUCAUAAUGUUUCACUGUUGAUACAGUUGUAUGUGAGAUUAUAAAUCUGUUUGAACAACACCUUCACUUCAAAUUGCUGCAGAGAAAUGGUUAAGGUAUCAGUGUGAUGCUCUGUGUUUCCUCAACUGUGUCCUCAUUGCUACUGUCUUCAUGUGAAAUUACUGCAGACACACUUCUGGAACCAAACCUGUACAUCUCGUGAAGACAGAUUAGUGGGCUAUUCCUGCAGCUUUCUGGUAUUUUAUCAAAACCUCACUCUGGAUAGAAAAUAAAGAUUGCACAGAAAUGCUUGCAUGGGUAUUUAUAUAUCUCAAAAUCUUCACAUGUGCAGUUUGGUAGAGCAAAGCUUAAAACAUAAUUACAGUCUUUGAACAUUGUAUUCUCCAUACAAAACAUUGUCCAACUUCACAUUCACUAAUGUUGCAGUUAACUCAACUUUCCCUGGUGCAUAUCGCUGCAUGACAUGUUUCACAAACUUGGGCAGAAUUGUGCAGACAGUAGUUUCUAGAUAAGCUUGGAAGAAAUUGAUUUCUUAUAUCCGUAGUAGCCCCAUUCAAGGUCCCAUCUGUAUUGCAUUUUAGGAAGAAAAAAAAAGAGUUUACAAUCUUGUUCAUGGCUUCAACUCCACUUUUAAUAUCAAUGGUAUCAAAAUUGCCCUUGUCCUCAUAAGCUUCCACUCUCUUUUCAUGUACCAAUAGCCACUGCUGUUAAACAUGCAUAAGUGUUUCUCUGUUGGUGAUUCUGAAAUUUCUUGCCACAUGCUCAGAAAUCUCUUCAUGUCAUUUGGUAUAUAUUCAGCCAUCUUCCUCAAACCUGUUUCAGACUGAAAAGGCACAAGUAAACUUUUGUCUGAGGAAAUUCUUGAUCAGUUGUGUUUAUCUCAGACUAUAAGAAAUCAGUAACCCAAUAGAUGGGAUUCCAAUCCUUGAAAAUGGCUAGUGCUUCAUGAAUGGAUCUCGCAUUUUCAACUUGAAUGAAAAAGAAAACCAAAUAACCCACAUUACUCUUUACAGCUAUAAAAAAAUAAAGGCAUAUCAUGUGUUGUUGUUUUGUAUGUUGCAUAUAACAACUAUUCCUGUACUACUUCAAAAGAUCUCUUUGCUAACAGCUCUGAUAGAAAAAAAGUGAUGGUUUCACUCCUCCAUUGGCACCUAUACCAUGUUUGUAAUAAAUCAUAUGAUCGCUUUAGAAAUGAGUGUCCUGAUUGAUAUAAAAAACAGUUUUCAAAUUUUCUGUACAAACUGUAAACAGUUCCUCAGUUAGUGAUUGUGGAAGAGAUUGCCAUAGCCACAGUAUUGAUCCACUGUUAGGUGGUAAACCUACAAUUUCCUUCCAGUAUGAGCCAAGUGAAGUAAAACUGUGGUUGGAGAAAUGUUUUAUAUUCUUAAACUGAGUAUUUGUAACCCAUUAUGUUGGAUUGCAGUUCAUGUGUCAACACUUUAAAAUGUUUAGUUCUUCAAUGAUGACACUUGAUACAAUUUCAAUUUUUUAAGGCUAUUCUGUGUCAAGUUAAACUUUGAAUUAUCCAUUUAAACUCAUUUUUUGCUGUGUGGCAGAUGGAUUUAUGUUCAUGUAAUAUUUUUAACGUUGAUUGUAGUAAGAUGUAAUCAUAUAUAAAUGCCCAAUAAAAUAGAUUGAUAUUUA